CCCUUAGAUGUUCUGGGCCGCACGCGCGCUACACUGAUGCACUCAACGAGUCUUCACCUUGACCGGAAGGUCCGGGAAACCUUUUGAACUUGCAUCGUGAUGGGGAUAGAUUAUUGCAACUAUUAAUCUUCAACGAGGAAUUCCUAGUAAGCGCAUGUCAUCAGCGUGCGUUGAUUACGUCCCUGCCCUUUGUACACACCGCCCGUCGCUCCUACCGAUUGAAUGAUCCGGUGAGGCCCCCGGACUGUUGCAACGCAGCUGGUUCGCCAGCCGCGAUGCGGCGGGAAGCUGUCCAAACCUUAUCAUUUAGAGGAAGGAGAAGUCGUANCA
RNAcentral lists this ribosomal RNA (330 nucleotides) under uncultured eukaryote. RNAcentral's name for it is "partial 18S ribosomal RNA". It matches the Rfam family "Eukaryotic small subunit ribosomal RNA", at positions 1470 to 1796 of the family's 1831-position model. The record is from RNAcentral.